AUUGAACGCUGGCGGCAGGCCUAACACAUGCAAGUCGAACGAGUGGCGGACGGGUGAGUAAUGUCUGGGAAACUGCCCGAUGGAGGGGGAUAACUACUGGAAACGGUAGCUAAUACCGCAUACCAUCGGAUGUGCCCAGAUGGGAUUAGCUAGUAGGUGGGGUAACGGCGCACCUAGGCAACGCUCCCUCGCUGGGCUGAGAGGAUGACCAGACACACUGGAACUGAUACACGGUCCAUACUCAGACGGGAGGCAGCAGUGGGGAAUAUGACACAAUGGGCGCAAGCCUGAUGCAGCCAUGCCGCGUGUAUGAAGAAGGCCUUCGGGUUGUAAAGUACUUUCAGCGGUGAGGCGUUACCCGCAGAAGAAGCACCGGCGAACUCGGUGCCAGCAGCCGCGGUAAUUC
RNAcentral lists this ribosomal RNA (406 nucleotides) under uncultured bacterium. Its description in RNAcentral is "partial 16S ribosomal RNA". It matches the Rfam family "Bacterial small subunit ribosomal RNA", at positions 30 to 526 of the family's 1533-position model. The record is from RNAcentral.